Molecule: long non-coding RNA, 338 nt
Organism: Acipenser ruthenus (sterlet)
Lineage: Eukaryota; Metazoa; Chordata; Actinopteri; Acipenseriformes; Acipenseridae
Exons: 4
Source: RefSeq, a predicted model, not a curated record
GGGGAAGAUGCCUGCUUGCUGAGACUGUUCUCAGAGAAAUCUCUUUGUUCCUGCACUGAAUAUAUUAACAGGGUUUGUGAACGUAACCUAAAAGACCUGUCUUCAAGGGAUUAUCUCUGCACCGGUAAGCAUCAAAGUCCCUAUGUGGACCUCUGGAUUCUGUGCUGCUCUUGAGGCGAAGGAAAAACUACUGAGAAUUAUUAACGUUCCUCUGUAAAAUGAAGAGCAUCCCUUUCCCAGACUCCAUCAGUGCUUCACAGCAUCUUUGACUGUUUAUUUCAGCAUUGAUUCCCAAAGCCUUGGCCUCUCUCCUCACUUCUUUUACCUGGCUCUGUCCG